GAUGAACGCUGGCGGCGUGCCUAAUACAUGCAAGUCGAGCGAACAGAUAAGGAGCUUGCUCCUUUGAAGUUAGCGGCGGACGGGUGAGUAACACGUGGGUAACCUACCUAUAAGACUGGGAUAACUUCGGGAAACCGGAGCUAAUACCGGAUAACAUUUAGAACCGCAUGGUUCUAAAGUGAAAGAUGGUUUUGCUGUCACUUAUAGAUGGACCCGCGCCGUAUUAGCUAGUUGGUAAGGUAACGGCUUACCAAGGCGACGAUACGUAGCCGACCUGAGAGGGUGAUCGGCCACACUGGAACUGAGACACGGUCCAGACUCCUACGGGAGGCAGCAGUAGGGAAUCUUCCGCAAUGGGCGAAAGCCUGACGGAGCAACGCCGCGUGAGUGAUGAAGGGUUUCGGCUCGUAAAACUCUGUUAUUAGGGAAGAACAAAUGUGUAAGUAACUGUGCACAUCUUGACGGUACCUAAUCAGAAAGCCACGGCUAACUACGUGCCAGCAGCCGCGGUAAUACGUAGGUGGCAAGCGUUAUCCGGAAUUAUUGGGCGUAAAGCGCGCGUAGGCGGUUUCUUAGUCUGAUGUGAAAGCCCACGGCUCAACCGUGGAGGGUCAUUGGAAACUGGGAAACUUGAGUGCAGAAGAGGAAAGUGGAAUUCCAUGUGUAGCGGUGAAAUGCGCAGAGAUAUGGAGGAAUACCAGUGGCGAAGGCGACUUUCUGGUCUGUAACUGACGCUGAUGUGCGAAAGCGUGGGGAUCAAACAGGAUUAGAUACCCUGGUAGUCCACGCCGUAAACGAUGAGUGCUAAGUGUUAGGGGGUUUCCGCCCCUUAGUGCUGCAGCUAACGCAUUAAGCACUCCGCCUGGGGAGUACGACCGCAAGGUUGAAACUCAAAGGAAUUGACGGGGACCCGCACAAGCGGUGGAGCAUGUGGUUUAAUUCGAAGCAACGCGAAGAACCUUACCAAAUCUUGACAUCCUUUGAAAACUCUAGAGAUAGAGCCUUCCCCUUCGGGGGACAAAGUGACAGGUGGUGCAUGGUUGUCGUCAGCUCGUGUCGUGAGAUGUUGGGUUAAGUCCCGCAACGAGCGCAACCCUUAAGCUUAGUUGCCAUCAUUAAGUUGGGCACUCUAGGUUGACUGCCGGUGACAAACCGGAGGAAGGUGGGGAUGACGUCAAAUCAUCAUGCCCCUUAUGAUUUGGGCUACACACGUGCUACAAUGGACAAUACAAAGGGCAGCUAAACCGCGAGGUCAUGCAAAUCCCAUAAAGUUGUUCUCAGUUCGGAUUGUAGUCUGCAACUCGACUACAUGAAGCUGGAAUCGCUAGUAAUCGUAGAUCAGCAUGCUACGGUGAAUACGUUCCCGGGUCU
RNAcentral lists this ribosomal RNA (1371 nucleotides) under uncultured bacterium. RNAcentral's name for it is "bacterial SSU rRNA". It matches the Rfam family "Bacterial small subunit ribosomal RNA", at positions 28 to 1381 of the family's 1533-position model. The record is from RNAcentral.